AAAUUAUUGGUAUUCACUAUGCACUAUACCACUCCAAAAGUAUAUUUCUUUCCCUCUACAUGCCACUCCAUUGCCGUGAAUAAUUGUGGGAUCAAUGAAACGAUUAUUUAGUUCCUAAAAACAAGCACACGUUGGCUACAUAUUCCAACUUCCAAGUCUCUCACAAUCAGUUGUCUUCUCACUAAUUGACUACACGAGCCACUCUUCUUUAGCAUUUUAUCUUUCACGUAGACAAACCUUCAUUUUCCAAAUCUCAAACAUUCCAUUAUUACUUUUAAUCCUCGUCCACUCAAAUUUAGUUCUUCUAAUAGAUGAUCAUGAUUUUCCCUCCUUAGUUUCUUAACAUCACAAAGUCUCCCAUCUAUAUGACCUCACGCAAAUCAUCCCAUAUCACAAUGCUCUCUUAUUAUUUCCCAGUCUUUGAGCAUACAUCUCCAACGUUCCAUUGAUUCAUAUGUUGUAUACAAAUAUUUUUCAAGUUUAUCAAUCAAUUCCUACAGUCUAUCCCCUCACAAUAUUCAUCAUGUUCCCAAUAUAUGGUUAUUCGUUUUCAACGGUGUAAUCUUCAAAACAAAGUCUAGAGCGAGAUAAAUCAUGCAUGCAUUGAACCUGCGAAUUUAGAGAACCUUAUAGUUCUUUGAUUGGGAGGAAAGCGUACAAGGUAAGAGCUUUUUCCGCACACCAUCAUACUAGGCGGAUAAGUGUUGUAAAAUGAUAGUAGAAUUCUUGUCCAUUAAAAAGAGUUAGUUUUCUAUGUAUUAUUCUAUUUAAUGACUUUAUGUAAUUUAUAUGUAUGACUUCUUAUGGUGAUUGAAUAUUGUGUUGAUUGUUGUGAGAAUUUGAUCAUUAGAUUUGGCACGUUGAUAACUAUAUAUGAUUCUAAAAAUAGCUUGUGGUUCAUAAAAUAUUAGAGCUUGGUGGGUUGCAUUUCAUGAUUUUAUUUUUGGUUUUGUUGAUGACAUUGAGUUGCGUAACAUAGCAUGAAGUAUUUGGGCUAUUAUCGCUAAGUGAUAGGCCUUGCGGAGACCAUUUAGUGGUCUAAUUUUUAUUGGGCUAAUGUCACUGGGUGGUGGGCCUUGCAAGAACCAUUGAGUGGUUCAUUCUUCCACUAGUUGUGGAUGUGUGCGUUAACACGACGAUAUCCGGAUCACUUGAGUCUUGCAUAUCAUCCACUUCAUGCAUUAAGUUUUACAAAAUAGUGUUGUGUACUUUAUUCUUUUGGUCAUUUCUAAUCCUUUUUAGUUGAUGAGUACUUUUAUUAUUAUUUGAUGGCAUUUUUAUGAGUUUAGGUGAUCUCAUGUGGAACCGGAAAUUGACCAUUACAUUAAUAUAAUUUUGUAGGUACCAUAGAUGAAAUAUGAAGCUUGAUGUGUGAUGAAACGUUUACGGGGCAAAUUAGGUUUUAAAAUGAAGAAGAAAACUACUUUUUAUUUAGUUGUAAUUGUAAUUUAAAUAUUUUUAAAAUAUACUAUAGAGUUUAUAUUUAUUCCAUUAAGAAUUAGAGUAAACAAAUAUAUGUUCUUAUUUUAAAAAAAUAAAAAACAUUUUUAAGUAAUGUGCUUGAUAAAAUUUGGGGCGUUAUAUCAAGCAUAAUAUCAUCACCCUCAAAUAGAUUCUUCAUACAUACACUCAUUUCCGAGUCUUUUGCACCGCCAAAUGGAAAAGGCAUAGAGGGACUUGACAACGUUUGGUUUUAAAUAUGACAUUCCAACGCCGGUGACAUC
This 1724-nucleotide long non-coding RNA is filed under the name Medicago truncatula (barrel medic). RNAcentral's name for it is "long non-coding RNA (MTRU_LNC003747)". The record is from RNAcentral. Lineage: Eukaryota; Viridiplantae; Streptophyta; Magnoliopsida; Fabales; Fabaceae.